This 498-nucleotide ribosomal RNA is filed under the name uncultured bacterium. Its description in RNAcentral is "partial 16S ribosomal RNA". It matches the Rfam family "Bacterial small subunit ribosomal RNA", at positions 28 to 507 of the family's 1533-position model. The record is from RNAcentral.
GACGAACGCUGGCGGCGUGCCUAAUACAUGCAAGUCGAGCGGACGGAUGGGAGCUUGCUCCCAGACCGUCAGCGGCGGACGGGUGAGUAACACGUGGGCAACCUGCCUGUAAGACUGGGAUAACUCCGGGAAACCGGGGCUAAUACCGGAUAACUCUUUCGCUCACAUGAGGGAAAGCUGAAAGAUGGCAUCUCGCUAUCACUUACAGAUGGGCCCGCGGCGCUUUAGCUGGUUGGUGAGGUAACGGCUCACCAAGGCGACGAUGCGCAGCCGACCUGAGGGGCUGAUCGGCCACACUGGGACUGAGCCGCGGCCCAGACUCCUGCGGGAGGCAGCAGUAUGGAAUCUUCCGCAAUGGUCGAAAGUCUGACGGAGCAACGCCGCGUGAGUGGUGGAGGUGUUCGGAUCGUAAAACUCUGUUGUCAGGGAAGAACAAGUACCGGAGUAACUGCCGGUACCUUGACGGUACCUGGCCAGAAAGCCACGGCUAACUACGUG